GACGAACGCUGGCGGCGUGCUUAACACAUGCAAGUCGAACGCACCUUCGGGUGAGUGGCGGACGGGUGAGUAACGCGUAGGUAAUCUACUCUUCAGUGGGGGAUACCCAGCCGAAAGGUUGGUUAAUACCGCAUACGCUCCUGUGCAGAGAGGUACAGGAGGAAAGGUUUACUGCUGAGGAAUGAGCCUGCGUCCGAUUAGCUAGUUGGUGGGGUAAAGGCUCACCAAGGCGACGAUCGGUAGCUGGUCUGAGAGGACGAUCAGCCACACUGGAACUGAGACACGGUCCAGACUCCUACGGGAGGCAGCAGUGGGGAAUUUUCCGCAAUGGGCGAAAGCCUGACGGAGCAACGCCGCGUGGGUGAUGAAGUUUUUCGGAACGUAAACCCUUUCGCCAGGGACGAAGCGAGUGACGGUACCUGGAGAAGAAGCAUCGGCUAACUACGUGCCAGCAGCCGCGGUAAU
RNAcentral lists this ribosomal RNA (465 nucleotides) under uncultured bacterium. Its description in RNAcentral is "bacterial SSU rRNA". It matches the Rfam family "Bacterial small subunit ribosomal RNA", at positions 28 to 524 of the family's 1533-position model. The record is from RNAcentral.